UCGAAGGUUAAUAGGAUGCGUCAGUCGCCGAUGAAGCGUUGAAUUGAAGCCCGAGUAAUCGGCGGCCGUAACUAUAACGGUCCUAAGGUAGCGAAAUUCCUUGUCGGUUAAAUACCGACCUGCAUGAAUGGCGUAACGAGAUGGGAGCUGUCUCAACCAGAGAUUCAGUGAGAUUGUAGUGGAGGUGAAAAUUCCUCCUACCCGCGGCAAGACGGAAAGACCCCGUGGACCUUUACUACCACUUAACACUGCUAAUGGGAAUAUCAUGCGCAUGAUAGGUGGGAGGCUUUGAAGUAACGGCUUUGGCUCUUAUGGAGCCAUCCUUGAUAUACCACCCUUGAUGUUUCUGUCUGCUAAC
This 358-nucleotide ribosomal RNA is filed under the name Helicobacter pylori. RNAcentral's name for it is "bacterial LSU rRNA". It matches the Rfam family "Bacterial large subunit ribosomal RNA", at positions 1870 to 2226 of the family's 2925-position model. Lineage: Bacteria; Pseudomonadati; Campylobacterota; Epsilonproteobacteria; Campylobacterales; Helicobacteraceae. The record is from RNAcentral.